UAAUACAGAGGGUGCAAGCGUUAAUCGGAAUUACUGGGCGUAAAGGGCGCGUAGGUGGUUAAUUAAGUUAGAUGUGAAAUCCCUGGGCUUAACCUAGGAAUUGCGUUUAAAACUGAUUGACUAGAGUGUGGUAGAGGGAAGUGGAAUUUCCGGUGUAGCGGUGAAAUGCGUAGAUAUCGGAAGGAACAUCAGUGGCGAAGGCGACUUCCUGGACCACUACUGACACUGAGGCGCGACAGCGUGGGGAGCGAACAGGAUUAGAUACCCUGGUAGUCCACGCCGUAAACGAUGAGAACUAGAUGUUAGGGGGCUUAGACCUCUUAGUAUCGUAGCAAACGCGAUAAGUUCUCCGCCUGGGGAGUACGGCCGCAAGGUUA
Molecule: ribosomal RNA, 377 nt
Filed under: uncultured bacterium
Lineage: Bacteria
Description: bacterial SSU rRNA
Rfam family: Bacterial small subunit ribosomal RNA
Source: RNAcentral